This 460-nucleotide ribosomal RNA is filed under the name uncultured bacterium. RNAcentral's name for it is "partial 16S ribosomal RNA". It matches the Rfam family "Bacterial small subunit ribosomal RNA", at positions 338 to 795 of the family's 1533-position model. The record is from RNAcentral.
CCUACGGGAGGCAGCAGUGAGGAAUAUUGGUCAAUGGGCGCUAGCCUGAACCAGCCAAGUAGCGUGAAGGAUGACUGCCCUAUGGGUUGUAAACUUCUUUUAUAUGGGAAUAAAGUGCAGUAUGUAUACUGCUCUGAAUGUACCUUAUGAAUAAGGAUCGGCUAACUCCGUGCCAGCAGCCGCGGUAAUACGGAGGAUCCGAGCGUUAUCCGGAUUUAUUGGGUUUAAAGGGAGCGGAGGCGGGUUGUUAAGUCAGUUGUGAAAGUUUGCGGCUCAACCGUAAAAUUGCAGUUGAUACUGGCAUCCUUGAGUACACUAGAGGUAGGCGGAAUUCGUGGUGUAGCGGUGAAAUGCUUAGAUAUCACGAAGAACUCCGAUUGCGAAGGCAGCCUACUGGACUGUAACUGACGCUGAUGCUCGAAAGUGUGGGUAUCAAACAGGAUUAGAUACCCCUGUAGUC